AAUCAACGCUGGCGGCGUGCCUAACACAUGCAAGUCGAGCGAGAAAGUGGGGGCAACUCCAUGAGUACAGCGGCGACCGGGUGAGUAACACGUGACUAACCUACCCUUGAGUGGGGAAUAACUCCGGGAAACCGGAGCUAAUACCGCAUAACACCGUAAGGUCAAAGGAGCAAUUCGCUUAAGGAGGGGGUCGCGGUUGAUUAGCUAGUUGGUGGGGUAAUGGCCCACCAAGGCGAUGAUCAAUAGCCGGCCUGAGAGGGCGCACGGCCACACUGGAACUGAAACACGGUCCAGACUCCUACGGGAGGCAGCAGUGGGGAAUUUUGCGCAAUGGGGGAAACCCUGACGCAGCAACGCCGCGUGAAGGAUGAAGGUCUUUGGAUUGUAAACUUCUUUCGUUCGGGACGAUAAUGACGGUACCGGAAGAAGAAGCCCCGGCUAACUUCGUGCCAGCAGCCGCAGU
Molecule: ribosomal RNA, 463 nt
Filed under: uncultured bacterium
Lineage: Bacteria
Description: bacterial SSU rRNA
Rfam family: Bacterial small subunit ribosomal RNA
Source: RNAcentral